UGUGAUCAUUUGAGACCCUAAGAACUAUAUUACGCUCAGAUCAUGCUAGAGAUUGAUGCAGGUAUCUUGGUGGCGCCUUUGAUGUGUUGCCUCAUGUGCCUGAGACAAUCACGACAAUCAAAAUGUUCCAAAAUGUCCUCUAAACAUUAUUGGAAAGACAAUGGACUUCCAAGUCAAUGACAGGGAAAAAAGAAGAGGAGAGAGGUUUUUUCUCUCAAUUCUCUCUCCCCUAUUUCCCCUCUUCACUCGACUAAACCCUAAUUUUUUAAGCUUCGGUGGCCGGCGGAGCCCUUGUCCGUCGGUCGCCAUCCCUCCUGUUUCGCCACUCUGCCUCCAAUCCUGUCUCUCGGUUCUCCUACCGUCGUCUCCUUGCUCAGCCCUCUAGAUUUUCUUCGGAUUGCGGCCGGAUCCGGCGGAUCUAAUCAGUCGCCGAAAGUGUUUUUGGCUUCCCCGGAGGUUUGGCGAGUCAGCGGUUGGUUGUCUGUCUUCAGGAAGCUCCGUUUUUGUUGUAGAUCUGGGUUUUGGUUGUGGUUGAAUCUGGGUCAGGUUCAACCCGAAGAUAUCGCCGGAUUUGAAGCGCGUCGCUGCCGUUUCGCAUCUGGCCUUGUGGUGUCUCUACCUCCCCUCCUCUCUUCGGUUCGGUUGCUACGCUAGGACUUC
Molecule: long non-coding RNA, 660 nt
Filed under: Brassica napus (rape)
Lineage: Eukaryota; Viridiplantae; Streptophyta; Magnoliopsida; Brassicales; Brassicaceae
Description: long non-coding RNA (BNAP_LNC007477)
Source: RNAcentral